Small nucleolar RNA from Saimiri boliviensis boliviensis (Bolivian squirrel monkey), 105 nucleotides. RefSeq annotates it as small nucleolar RNA U13. NCBI's taxonomy places the organism in Eukaryota, Metazoa, Chordata, Mammalia, Primates, Cebidae. The record is from RefSeq and is a predicted model, not a curated record.
AUCCUUUUGUAGUUUGUAAGUGUGAUGAUUGGGAUUUCAUGCUCAUGUGUUGAGAUGUGCCUCUCUCAAACUUUGUUAAAAUGUCAGCACAUUACCCAUCUGAUG